UACAGGGGGGGCAAGCGUUGUUCGGAAUUACUGGGCGUAAAGGGCCAGUAGGCGGCCAACUAAGUCACACGUGAAAUCCCCAGGCUUAACCUGGGAACUGCGUGUGAUACUGGAUGGCUUGAAUUCGGGAGAGGGAUGCAGAAUUCCAGGUGUAGCGGUGAAAUGCGUAGAUAUCAGGAGGAACACCAACGGCGAAGGCAGCUCGCUGGGACGGUACUGACGCUGAGGCGCGAAAGCGUGGGGAGCGAACAGG
RNAcentral lists this ribosomal RNA (253 nucleotides) under uncultured bacterium. RNAcentral describes it as "partial 16S ribosomal RNA". It matches the Rfam family "Bacterial small subunit ribosomal RNA", at positions 524 to 776 of the family's 1533-position model. The record is from RNAcentral.